UUUGGGGAAAAUUAAAAUAAAAUUAUUUUUAUAAAAAUUGAUCUUUACAAAACUAAAUGAAAAAGGUACUCUAGGGAUAACAGCGUUAUAGUUAUUAAAGCCCAUAUUUAAGUAACUGUUU
RNAcentral lists this ribosomal RNA (121 nucleotides) under Acartia tonsa. RNAcentral's name for it is "partial 16S ribosomal RNA". The record is from RNAcentral. Lineage: Eukaryota; Metazoa; Arthropoda; Copepoda; Calanoida; Acartiidae.